Molecule: long non-coding RNA, 558 nt
Filed under: Lepisosteus oculatus (spotted gar)
Lineage: Eukaryota; Metazoa; Chordata; Actinopteri; Semionotiformes; Lepisosteidae
Description: lncRNA (ENSLOCG00000022870.1)
Source: RNAcentral
GACAAGGCUCACACCUGCUUAGCUUCAGUGGGUUGCCAGUUGUGAGUUGCAGGGUGGUAUGGUUGCUGGCAAUUAGAUGGGAACCUAAGGGAAUUGUUUUAGCUAAUUCAUUUUGACUUCCCCUGAUAUUAAUAAUGUUGACUUAAUUCUUCAUAUAUAUUUUGAAAAGGAAAAUUCCCUCAGUCUUUUACAUCUGAAGAUGUCUGGGGACAGAUCUCAAAUGGCUUCAGUUGGAACAUCCACCAAGAAACCCGACAGGAUUCCCCUGGUGUGCAAGAUGUGCCUGAGGACAUUUGACCAGCUUCCUGCUCAUUUGAAGAGGGCGUGUAUGAAGCAAGCCACACCAGAGGAGAUCAGGAUGACCUCUCGCCAGGCCAGGAAGGACUUGAUGAAUCAUCUGAGGAAUGGGCAUGUUGUGGAUUACGAGAGCAUAGAGCUAUUGUUUGACAAGGCAAAUAGGAACCUAGCUGUGAGACUGGUGGAGUCCAUGGGCUGUUUUGUACGUAGGAAACCUGAAGACAAACCAGCAAGGUGAGAGAUUAAAUUGUGACAUUUCUU